This 66-nucleotide transfer RNA is filed under the name Pteronarcella badia. RNAcentral's name for it is "tRNA-Gly". Lineage: Eukaryota; Metazoa; Arthropoda; Insecta; Plecoptera; Pteronarcyidae. The record is from RNAcentral.
AUUUGUCUAGUAUAAUAAGUAUAAUUGACUUCCAAUCAAAAGGUCUGAAUAUUUUCAGGACAAAUA